UAUNGCACAAUGGGGGAAACCCUGAUGCAGCNACACCGCGUGAGUGAGGAAGUAUUUCGGUAUGUAAAGCUCUAUCAGCAGGGAAGAAAAUGACGGUACCUGACUAAGAAGCCCCGGCUAAUUACGUGCCAGCAGCCGCGGUAAUACGUAGGGGGCAAGCGUUAUCCGGAUUUACUGGGUGUAAAGGGAGCGUAGGUGGCAGGGCAAGUCAGAUGUGAAAACCCGGGGCUCAACCCCGGGAGUGCAUUUGAAACUGUACAGCUGGAGUGCAGGAGAGGUAAGCGGAAUUCCUAGUGUAGCGGUGAAAUGCAUAGAUAUUAGGAGGAACACCAGUGGCGAAGGCGGCUUACUGGACUGUAACUGACGUUGAGGCUCGAAAGCGUGGGGAGCAAACAGG
RNAcentral lists this ribosomal RNA (397 nucleotides) under uncultured bacterium. Its description in RNAcentral is "bacterial SSU rRNA". It matches the Rfam family "Bacterial small subunit ribosomal RNA", at positions 362 to 776 of the family's 1533-position model. The record is from RNAcentral.